GUGAGAUUCAAAAUUUAAGGAGGUACCGAUAUCUCUGCAAUGAAGGGUGUAUAUUGGACCGGAGGAGGAGAAAAGGAAGCAGGCUGACCCAGAUGGAACGAUGGAAAAUUAAGAGACCAAAAAGAUGAAGAAUCUGUGUUGGAAACAGUACAGGAUGAAAAAGAAACACCAUGAGGAAACAUUGACUUGGGUGAUUCUUCUUGAACAAUGUGAAUAUUGAGUUGGAGCUGCAAGAAAAUGAUGAAGAUGAAUGGGAGAGAUUUGACCAAUAUAGUGUUCAUAUCAC
Molecule: long non-coding RNA, 286 nt
Filed under: Callithrix jacchus (white-tufted-ear marmoset)
Lineage: Eukaryota; Metazoa; Chordata; Mammalia; Primates; Cebidae
Description: lncRNA (ENSCJAG00000069923.1)
Source: RNAcentral